GACGAACCGUGCGAACGUUAUUCGGAAUCACUGGGCUUAAAGCGCGUGUAGGCGGGAGGGCACGUCCGUCGCUGAAAUCCCCCGGCUCAACCGGGGAACGGGCACGGAUACGACCUUCCUGGAGGGGCGUAGGGGGACCUGGAACUUCCGGUGGAGCGGUGAAAUGCGCAGAUAUCAGGAGGAACACCGGUGGCGAAGGCGGUUCUCUGGGCCUGUACUGACGCUGAGGAACGAAAGCGUGGGGAGCGAACAGG
Molecule: ribosomal RNA, 254 nt
Filed under: uncultured bacterium
Lineage: Bacteria
Description: partial 16S ribosomal RNA
Rfam family: Bacterial small subunit ribosomal RNA
Source: RNAcentral